Molecule: long non-coding RNA, 2435 nt
Organism: Leopardus geoffroyi (Geoffroy's cat)
Lineage: Eukaryota; Metazoa; Chordata; Mammalia; Carnivora; Felidae
Exons: 11
Source: RefSeq, a predicted model, not a curated record
UUUGGGGUCCUCCCCAGGAAAGUGAGCCUGAGCGUAGGCUUGGGGGGUCUAGUGUCCCAGCCAGGGCACUCUCCUCUAACCAUUUUAGGGCUGCCUGGGUAAUUUGGCGUCACUCCUUCAUAUCGAAGAGGGUCAGAAGAAGGUGGCGGCAGUCUGUCCAGGUAGGUUUGUAGGUUUGAAUUAUGGACUGCUUUAAGUCAGCCUGGGGUUUCUCUGUAUAAGAGGGGGUAUGGUGCUUCCAAUUUAGGAGAUCUGUAGUGAUAGAGGGUUGGUACACAAAACACACUGGCCUCCUUGGAUCUGGCCUUUCUGAUCAUAAUAGAUGGGUCCCCUGGUUUCCCUCAGUGGCAACUGUAGGGCUCCCUGGUGUUGCUGCAGAGAAGGGCUGCCUCUGCUGGCCUGAUUCUCUAGUUGCCUUCUAGGAGGCUUAUGUGGAUUUGAGACUAGCAGUCCGGUGAGUCAGUCACAUUCAGGGAGGCCAGUGGUUCUAGAGGUGGUGAGGCCUCGGGACUAAGAGCAGGCUGUCGAUGGGGUUUCAGCAGCUAGGGCUGCUGGGGGGAUGGGGGCACAGAUGACAGUGAGGGGUACACUGCGCAUAUGGUGGUGGGGUUUCUUCAGGUUCUCCUGACAGUAUGGGCUUUUAAAUUUCUGGACGAUGUUUGGAGGAAGCUGUGACGUGAGCCAUCAUAACUUUACAGCUCUCUUUAAUAUAGACUUUUAGCCAAGGCAUCCGGGAUAGGACCAGGUCUUGCCAAUAGUAAAUGUAAGGAAAUUGGUCAGGGUGGCCCGGGUCCCCUACAAUGACCCUGAACAUUCCGCCAACUACUUCCUUAUCAAGUGAGCCCUCGGAGGGCCAGCCCACCCCAAAUGACGGCCAAUCAAUUUCACAGAAUGUCUGGAGCUUUCCAGGAGUUAAUUUCACCCCAUAUAUCCCUUUUUGAAAUUCUUCAACAUAUACUCUACGGGAGUGGAUUUACUCUUCUUUCCACCCAUUUUCUCCCCCUAACAGACAACUUUAAGGCACACGCGGGGAAAACGAGGAAGGAGGGGGACUAAUUUGGAGAGGACGCACACUCGCUUUGUCCGCUUCCGGCCGCUCUCCUCUCGGAGAUAUUUCAGGUGCCUCUUAGCCCUGGCGGGUUCAGUUUCAACCCCUGACCCGGAUGAGACUCCCGAGGAAGUCUGACACUGCCUUAAGCUGUAUGAGGUUGCCCCCGAACCGAGGAUCAGGACUCAACACCCUGGUCAGGGAAGGACACAACAUGGACUUGAAAUGCUUUUUGAAUGUUGCCAAUACUUUGCUACAAAAAGGAGGCCAUCAUCCUUGGAUUGUGUGUUAACUUCAGAUGAGAAACCUGAGGCUCAGAGAGGUUAACUGGUGAUGCACCACAGCCAGCAAGCCUCAAACCUGGAUUCAUGCCCAGGCUCUCUGGCUCCAGUGUCUGUGUUCUUCUUGAUACACCUUGUUUCAGCCUGUCAACCACUUCUGCAGUACAGACACCUGGAAAACUUGAGGCUUGUGCUCACCGCCCAAGUAGCUCUGAAAAUGACCCAAAUUUAAAGAACCACUAAGCAUCAUAAUAGAGAAAUAUGUGGAAACUUACUGUAAGAAUGAAUGUUCCAGUGCCCAGAAUGGACAACAUCUGGGUUCUGAGCGUGCCCAGUAGGGAUGAUUUAACACCACGCUGAUGACUUGCAACAGAAGAUCGUCAUGUGAAAAGGGUUGCUUUCUUCAAGGAAUCCUGAUGGAGAGCUGGACUUCAAAUGUCUUCUUCCUUGGGAAUAACAUGAAUAGGGAGCAACAGCAAAACAAAACUUUCACAGCCCUCUACUUGAAGAUGCAAGGAUCAGAUCAAACUUCUAGACCCAGGUUAGAAGGCAUGAUGAAACCCUUGGAAUACCUAAUACAUGUCUGGCUCCUACUGGCCUCUUGACCAUUGUUGCAUUUUGGAAAACUAUGUCCAGGAUGAAUGUAUAGAAACCAAAGGAAGGAAGAAAAGAAGGAAAAAAGGAAGGAAGGAAAGAAGUCACCACAGGUGAAAUCCCUCUUAGCAGCUGGCUUAUGAAAUAAUGUGAAGGGAGGCCUUAAUGAGCAGAAAGCACCCUCAGCUGGAGAUAAAUAUAUGCAAAUGAGAUGCACAAACAAAGGAGCCUGGACAGAGAAAUAUCUGCAAUUCCAGCAAAAUGCUGCCUGCAGCUCGAAGAUGAACAGCUUUGAUAAAAUGUGAGAAAUAAUCCUCAUAUGUGCUGAUGACAAGCACACGAACCGGCAACAAGCAAGUAGGAUAAAAAAUAGUUAAAAUGAAUCAACAUUUAUCUGGAAGAUACAGUCCUGACCCUAAAAAAAAAGAAAAAAAAAAGUCAUUUAUCUUCUGUGUCCUGUGAUGUUUUGAAGAUUCUGGCAAAUAUGGCAGUUAAACAAACUUCUCUCACAA